AUUGAACGCUAGCGGGAUGCCUUAUACAUGCAAGUCGAACGGAGUGGCGAACGGGUGAGUAAUGUAUGGGAACGUGCCCAUUAGUGGGGGAUCCCUACGCGAAAGAGUAGCUAAUACCGCAUACUUUUGGCGCGGCCGAAAUCGGCUUAGCUAGUUGGUGGGGUAACGGCUCACCAAGGCGACGAUCCAUAGCUGGUUUGAGAGGACGACCAGCCACACUGGGACUGAGACACGGCCCAGAAUCCUACGGGAGGCAGCAGUGGGGAAUUUUGGGCAAUGGGGGAAACCCUGAUCCAGCCAUGCCGCGUGAGCGAUGAAGGCCUUCGGGUUGUAAAGCACUUUGGGCAGGGAAGCGGUACCUACAGAAGAAGCACCGGCUAACUACGUGCCAGCAGCCGCGGUAAUUC
Molecule: ribosomal RNA, 407 nt
Filed under: uncultured bacterium
Lineage: Bacteria
Description: partial 16S ribosomal RNA
Rfam family: Bacterial small subunit ribosomal RNA
Source: RNAcentral